RNAcentral lists this ribosomal RNA (455 nucleotides) under uncultured bacterium. RNAcentral describes it as "bacterial SSU rRNA". It matches the Rfam family "Bacterial small subunit ribosomal RNA", at positions 340 to 786 of the family's 1533-position model. The record is from RNAcentral.
UACGGAAGGCAGCAGUGGGGAAUAUUGCACAAUGGGCGCAAGCCUGAUGCAGCCAUGCCGCGUGUAUGAAGAAGGCCUUCGGGUUGUAAAGUACUUUCAGUCGUGAGGAAGGUGUUAAGGUUAAUAACCUUAGCAAUUGACGUUAGCGACAGAAGAAGCACCGGCUAACUCCGUGCCAGCAGCCGCGGUAAUACGGAGGGUGCGAGCGUUAAUCGGAAUUACUGGGCGUAAAGGGCACGCAGGCGGUUAAUUAAGUUGGAUGUGAAAUCCCCGGGCUUAACCUGGGAAUGGCAUUCAAGACUGGUUAGCUAGAGUCUUGUAGAGGGGGUAGAAUUCCAUGUGUAGCGGUGAAAUGCGUAGAGAUGUGGAGGAAUACCGGUGGCGAAGGCGGCCCCUGGGACAAAGGACUGACGCUCAUGUGCGAAAGCGUGGGGAGGCAACAGGGAUUAGAUACC